UUACUGGAUGACUGGUUGAUUUCACUUGGCUCGGGCAUGUUUGGUUUCUGAAACUUGGAACCUCGGCAAAAAGAAACUAGUAUUUGAGGACAAAACUAUAUACAAGUUUAUCAAUUAACGACAUGUAAACCCAAGUAAAUAUAAUAGGGGAUGAUGCUUUGCAAAUCUUAAAUUCUUUUUAAUUUUCUCUUUUAAAGUUAUGUUUUCUUGGUCCUGCAACCUCAAGGCUGAGCCAUGAGACUUAUUGCCUGGGGAAGGAGAUGGUGGGAAAAUAAGUAAUUGGUCACCUGUGGAUCUCAAAGCAGUGAGGACAGCAUGGCUCGUGGUGCAGGUAAUGUGAGAAGUCUGCCUCUCCAGCUGGAGCCAAGCAGUUGUGAGAGGGAGAGAACAAGAGGCUGGAGAGGCCGGCCUAGAGAUGAGUGUCCUCAGUAGUCUUUCAGGCCACACUUCGGAAUGGGGCCAGCAUGUUUCCAGUCUCUGCAGCGCAAGGGUUUGUGUUUGUCAAAUUAGAAGAUGAAGAAAGUCAUCACCACUGAUGGGCUUUUUAAACCCUGAAUGACUGACAAGAAGAGAAUGAAAAAAUACUGUGUAAAAUAAACUGUGUCAUGAAUGCAUAAUUUUGAUCCAGUUCAUUAAAAGCAUGAAACUGUUGGACGUCAGAUUUUGUGAAACAUAUAUACAAUGGUAUUGCUGUUAUGAAAGCAGGUUCCUCAUUGUGGAAUGCCCGACUAGCCUGCCUUUGAGCUGAUGCAGGAUGGUUUGUUAUUUAUAGUGUUGAAGAAAUUGGGAGAACAGUACUCAGCCCAUCUUCCACUGUGAGCAGCCUGCAGCUUACAUUAAGCUGAUGGGAAAUACCUGAAUCAGAAGGCACUGUGUGAAGUUCAAUUGAUGUGUUGCAUUUACAACAACUAGGUAAUUCACACUUUUAAGCGAUACUUAACUCCUGAAAAUGUGCCUUGAAAAGCCCAAAGAGGGGGGAUCAACUUGCCUAAUUAAAAAUAAGCAUAAGCAAUUCGUGAUAGGCACGUUGGUUACAGGAAGCAUAAGAGGAGAGAAGUACCAUGAAGUGGAUACAAUCUUGGUGAAUGUAAACUAAGCCCACCUAAAGGCGAUGGGACCAGUUUCCGGGGGCAAUAGGGUGGUGAUGCGGUAAAUUUGAGGUUAACUUCCAGGACAUGGGACACCUCAGCCACUUACUAGCUGGGUGACUUUGGGCAGUCCCUUAACUUUGUGCCUCAGUGUCGUCGUCCAUAAAAUGAUGGUGGUGGUCGAACUGUUAUGAAAAUUAAAUUGCUUAUUGUAACACACUCCGAAUAGUGUCUGUGGGUGGUACAUGCUGGGUAGGUGUUUGCUGUUGUUGUUCAAGGGCUCCUGUGGACCCAAACCCACAACUGCUUUCCAAAUUUGGCCGUUGGUCUUGCCAUGAAGAGGAAUGAAGAAUCGUGAAGCACUUUUGCAGCAACUUUGAUUGGAAAAUGGAACAUGCACAGGAGCAGAGGAAGUAUGCCUUGUGUCCCUUCUUCCAUGCCACCCCAUUUGUGCAUAAUGUUUAUGCUGCCCAUGAACGUGGAAUUCAGGUGGACCCAUGUUGUGUGGGAGUUCAGAGGCUCAGAGCAAAAGUGAGUAUAAGGUCAUGAUCUCACGGUCUGUGAGCUCGAGCCCUGCAUCCGGCUCUGUGCUGUCAGAGCAGAGCCUGCUUGGGAUUCUCUCUCUUCCUCCCUCUCUGACCUUCCCUCUC
Long non-coding RNA from Neofelis nebulosa (Clouded leopard), 1738 nucleotides. RefSeq lists it as uncharacterized. The record is from RefSeq and is a predicted model, not a curated record. NCBI's taxonomy places the organism in Eukaryota, Metazoa, Chordata, Mammalia, Carnivora, Felidae. The transcript has 4 exons.